UUAAUUUUAGCGCCUGGACAGCUAACUUCAAAAACUUACUAAAAAAUCAAUUUAUUUUUUAAAUAAUUAGCAAAAUAGCUGUUGACGAGGAUAGAGUUUAUCGAAAUACUCGGCGGAUACUCUAUGGCACACUAUUGCCAAAGACAUUUACAAAACAUACUAGUAAUAGUAUAACAAAAUAAUG
Molecule: non-coding RNA, 184 nt
Filed under: chicken gut metagenome
Description: glmS glucosamine-6-phosphate activated ribozyme
Rfam family: glmS glucosamine-6-phosphate activated ribozyme aptamer
About the family: This entry contains a glucosamine-6-phosphate activated ribozyme that is found in the mRNA for GlmS. GlmS is an enzyme that uses fructose-6-phosphate and glutamine to generate glucosamine-6-phosphate.
Source: RNAcentral